This 242-nucleotide ribosomal RNA is filed under the name uncultured bacterium. Its description in RNAcentral is "partial 16S ribosomal RNA". It matches the Rfam family "Bacterial small subunit ribosomal RNA", at positions 62 to 334 of the family's 1533-position model. The record is from RNAcentral.
UCGAACGCCCCGCAAGGGGAGUGGCAGGCGGGUGAGUAACACGUGGGAACAUACCCUUCGGUACGGAACAACUCGGGGAAACGCGAGCUAAUACCGUAUACGCCUUGGCGGGGAAAGAUUUAUCGCCGAAGGAUUGGCCCGCGUCCGAUUAGCUAGUUGGUGAGGUAAUGGCUCACCAAGGCGACGAUCGGUAGCUGGUCUGAGAGGAUGGCCAGCCACAUUGGGACUGAGACACGGCCCAA